GACCUUGCCACUUGGCAAAAGAUGACGAACGCUCAAAAGGACGCUGGUAGGCCGGUAACGGUUCGAACGCUUCCGAGUAAGGCAAAGCAGACAC
This is a small RNA of Odoribacter splanchnicus DSM 20712, 94 nucleotides long. It matches the Rfam family "RT-17 RNA". From Rfam's summary of the family: Bacteroidales (Bacteroidetes), Clostridiales (Firmicutes). Nearby to self- splicing intron genes NCBI's taxonomy places the organism in Bacteria, Pseudomonadati, Bacteroidota, Bacteroidia, Bacteroidales, Odoribacteraceae. The record is from Rfam.